GACGAACGCUGGCGGCGUGCUUAACACAUGCAAGUCGAACGGAAAGGCCCUGCUUUUGUGGGGUGCUCGAGUGGCGAACGGGUGAGUAACACGUGAGUAACCUGCCCUUGACUUUGUGAUAACUUCAGGAAACUGGGGCUAAUACCGGAUAGGAUCUCCUGCUGCAUGGGGGGGGUUGGAAAGUUUCGGCGGUUGGGGAUGGACUCGCGGCUUAUCAGCUUGUUGGUGGGGUAGUGGCUUACCAAGGCUUUGACGGGUAGCCGGCCUGAGAGGGUGACCGGCCACAUUGGGACUGAGAUACGGCCCAGACUCCUACGGGAGGCAGCAGUGGGGAAUAUUGCACAAUGGGCGGAAGCCUGAUGCAGCAACGCCGCGUGCGGGAUGACGGCCUUCGGGUUGUAAACCGCUUUCGCAUGUGACGAAGCGUGAGUGACGGUAAUGGGUAAAGAAGCACCGGCUAACUACGUG
This 468-nucleotide ribosomal RNA is filed under the name uncultured bacterium. Its description in RNAcentral is "partial 16S ribosomal RNA". It matches the Rfam family "Bacterial small subunit ribosomal RNA", at positions 28 to 507 of the family's 1533-position model. The record is from RNAcentral.